AGUGUGCUCAGGGCGCUCCAGGCAGGCAACCUCCAUCUCCAUCUCCUGCCUAGUGCCUGCUCCAGUCCACUCUCCUCCACAGGGGUUAGCCGGGGUCAGACAGGGCUGUCGUUAGCUUAUCUGGGGUCUACAUCGCGCAAGGUGCUAAUGUGACAGCUACUCCUACUCCGGUUCUGGCUCUGGCUUUGGCAAUCGACUUGGCGUUGCCUCAUUAGUCCGACUCUGCAAAUAUUUCAUAAUUCAUUUCCAUUCCGACCGCAGAGUCAUUUAUUUAGGAGCUGGCAUUCGUCACUUGCGGCGGCCACACCGUUCGAUGAUGAUAUAUGACUGUAUGGGGCCUUAUUGAUGAAAUGCGGCUGGAAUGGAAUGCCUACGAAAUUGGAACAUCUAAUAUCUCCCAAGCCAAAACAUAAUUGUGGCAAUUAAGAUUCUUUCUCAUAAUAUCAAUCAGACGAUGAUUUCCUGGCUUAGCGUUUGCCCUUCAACACUUCCAAUGGCAAUUUCAAAAAAGACUUAACUUAAAUUGGAAUCGAAAUGGCAUUCUUCUUUUGCUUGGCUACCGCUGAAACGGGCUAUGAUUUACCACGAAAAGAGAUGCUUUAAUUUAAAGUGCCUGACUUAAUAAACGGUUUCUACGCACUCCUGGUUGCGACUUCGAGUUGCUUCUUCAUCAACUG
Long non-coding RNA from Drosophila pseudoobscura, 677 nucleotides. RefSeq lists it as uncharacterized. The transcript has 2 exons. NCBI's taxonomy places the organism in Eukaryota, Metazoa, Arthropoda, Insecta, Diptera, Drosophilidae. The record is from RefSeq and is a predicted model, not a curated record.